RNAcentral lists this small RNA (131 nucleotides) under Salmonella enterica. RNAcentral's name for it is "RtT sRNA". It matches the Rfam family "RtT RNA". From Rfam's summary of the family: This family represents a bacterial cis-regulatory element known as RtT RNA. The exact function of RtT is unknown although it is thought that it may be involved in changing the cellular response in relation to amino acid starvation. The record is from RNAcentral. RNAcentral also lists the same sequence under 1 other name. Lineage: Bacteria; Pseudomonadati; Pseudomonadota; Gammaproteobacteria; Enterobacterales; Enterobacteriaceae.
UAUCUCUCCAUACGGGGAAGGAUGAGAAGCUUCGACUAAGGUUCGAUUCGAGCGCAGCGAGAAAGCGUUGCCGCAGGCAACGACCCGAAGGGCGAAGCGCGCAGCGCUGAGUCAUCCUUCCCCCACCACCA